AGAAGAGAGAGCUCUUUCAGUGAACUAAUCAGAAAACAUGAUCUGAUCGUCUGAGUUCCUGUGGUCCGUUCUUCAUAUCAUAUUCACAGACACCAGAUCUUCUAAUCCUGAUAACUGAUCUCUGGCUGAUUUGGUUCUUCAAACGAAUUUGCAGAUUUGAUUACAAUAUCUGCAUUAAGUUGUCUGAGAUUACUGUGUGUUCUUGUGUUCAUCAGAAAGGGCAGAUAUAUCGAUACUCAAAACCAUGAUCAGCAAUGCAGCGUUUGGCUGGCGGCAAGACAGCAAAGUAAUGACAUCAUUAAGAACAUCACACUCCUGACCAAAAACUUGAUGAAUUUCUGGACCUUUAUAAGGAAACAGCUAAGCGACUAAAGCGAAACAAAACUAUAAUAGGUAAAUGAAAUGUGUACAGUUUGUUACAUGAUUCUCAAUUAUUUCCAUUAUUUCAUGAUUUCUAGUAUUUGUACAGACUUUACAUUUUAUUCCAAUGUUGUAAUUAGUAAUUCAUUUAAUUUUACCUGUGAAGCAGAUUUGUUACGUGACAGCGGCAAUAAAAGUUUCUUAUGGGUCAAGAACAUUUUUCUAAUGGCAUUUUUCUAAAUUAUUAUUGUCCCUGGGUAAUUAGGGGUACUCUUUUAUGAAAGUAGCAAUGACUAGGACAAACUUUAAGUAUCACCUUUGUUUACAUGAAAUAAGCUGCUUAUGAGCAGGUUUGAGCUUACAGACCCUGUAUCAUGUCAAAUCAUCAACAGUAUGUAGCCGGCGAGGUGACUACAACUAUUAAAGGGCGUGGCCAUGUAGGUAAUUGGUGGGUUUUUAAGCAGGCACCUAGAAGGGUACCUGGAGAUGGGGUCCGAUCUUUUGUGUGGAAGCGUGUUGCCUCGUAGUGGUGUUUGUGCACGGAUAUGGUCUGAAUGAGCAGAUGUAAACAUUGUGCUGCCUGGUACCGCUUCCGUGUUGGUUUGUGUAUGGACACUGUUUGGGUGAACAGGUGUAAACAUCAUGGAUUUAGCAGCUGCUGGUCACGCCCGUCCUCGUUUGAUCUCGGAUAUUAGUCCGUGGUUCGUGGCUGUGUUGCAGGUAAUCAGAGAGGGUAUUUAUAAUAUUUAAGUGGUUUGAUUUUAUUAUUUUUAAUGAUAUUAAAGAAAAAUGUGAUUAUGUGGAGUAUUGUUAAUUGUGUUUUUGUUUAUUUUCAUAUUUGUUUAUUUUCAUAUUAGGUUUAGUUAAUCGCUGUUCCUCCUAUGUUUGUUUUUGUUUUUCUUGCUAGCCCGUCCUUGCAUGUGCGCGCUGUAUGCCUCCAGCGCAAUUAAAGUUUAUGAUUGUUGUAUGAACUGGACUGGCUAGCGGGGUUUUUUUUGUAUUUUUUAUUUUUUUCUCUUUGUUUGUAUCACUUCCCAGCCUCGUGUUGCCAGCCAACCUCUAUAUUCCCUAAAUCAGAUUGAUGCUCUACAACACAUGAACUAUUCUUUUGCAUGAGGUUUAUGUUUGCAGUGUAAUUAUUUGAGUGUUGUUUUUGAGUGUUGUAUUUAUUUAAUAUGAUUUUUGGAGUUGUUUAUGUAAUUUACUUUAUUCUUUCUUUCAAAUCGUUCUGUGUAAAGAAGCUGGUUUGUGUUGGGAUCCAGAGAGGGUUGGCUGGUUAUUAAUAUCUUUUUGCGGGGGGGAAGGAACUUUUGUCACAUGUAUUUUGUUGUAUUUAUUGCUUCAUUUGUAUAAAUAAAUGAUAUAUAUUUUUUUUUUUUUUUGUGAUAUAUGAAGUUUUCUUCUCCCUGAUUACAUUAGUUUGUUUUUUUUGGUCACCCUUGUUGGAGGUAAGAGUGGACUAGUUACAAGUAGAAUCCAGAUAAAUGAGUUAUCCAUGUAUGCAGAACGAACCCCAUGUGGAGAGGAGAGUGAUGGUCUCUCCUCCAUCUGAAAACUCACUACAGGUUUAAUGUGAUUCAACAUUAGACCAUCUGAAACAAUCAUGAGACUUACAGUGAACAAGUGUGUUAUUUUUGUUCUACUUUAUGUUUUAUAUGUUAAGCUGAGAACCUUUUCCUGAACCGAUCAAAUGAAAUAUUCCACAAUGCAAAUGAGCUGAUCCGAUUACUUUGAGUGCACAUCCUUCUGCGCAUGCCUACUUUAGAUGUAUCGGGACUGAGUCGUCAGAAUACAAAAAGGCAGUGGUGGCGAAAUCAAACUGGAGUGCAAUGGAGACAUAUUAAUCGGUAUUUUAAAAGAACAGAGUGGAUGUGGGCUUUCAAGAAGCCCCUGAUGUGGAGACCUCAGAUGAGGCUAAUGUUAGCGUUUCUGGUAAGUUUCUUUAGCAUCACUUCAUGGCCUCUUUACUAGCAUCAGGGAAAGAAUUAAGUCAGUUAACCUAAACUAUCAAUACAGCGAUGUACUACUUCUGAAUUACAAGUGAAAGUAUUCCAGGAAAUGCUACUUUACUAAAAGUUCAUAAUGAUAAAAGUACUAGUUUGAUCAGACAAGCUGUGUGUGUCAUGUCACAAAAUGAUUCCGACUGAAAGCGUCAGCACAUGUAAACACCAGAUCAGUUUAGAUAGCAUCCCAUGUAAACAGUCAACUGGAAUCCAUCAAUCAGAAUGGCAAAAAAGUGUGUAUGUAAACGGGCUAGUAUUGAUUAACAACAGCUCCUCAUGAUUACUUGACUAGCAGUCUCUUCUGAAAUCUAGAUGGGUAAGGAUUUGGUAAUACUUCACUCAUUACUAAAGGGUUACCAUGAUCUUUACUUUAUAAUUAAUUAUACAUUAUGCAUUAUUCACAUUAAUUAUGAACCUGUAUAUAGUAGUUUUUAGUAGUUCUCUGGGAGGUAUGAAAAAAAUAGUAGUUACCGAUUAGCUAAUAAUGAACUACCACCUUCAACUGAGCACUAUUACUUACUAACUCAUUAAUCAGAGUUUCUUGUUAGUUAAUAGUAGGCAGUAGAAUGUUAAUAAUGCAUUACUCAUUUGUUCCUGUGCAGUUAUUCAUUAAUGAAGGAUCAGUAUUCUAAAGUGUUACCAAACAGAUGAAACCAGUGAAUUUUCCACUUUACAUUAUCUCAAUAUCAAAUCAGGCGAUUUCAGGUGAAGUCUAUAUGCAUCACUCUUCUUCUGUGCAAAUGAGUUUGUUAAAACACUGUUGCAAUGGCUGACCUUAAAAUAAUUUAUCAUAAACCAAGGUUCAAGUGCCCUACAAAAGGGAACACUGAUCACAAUGGUGACUUCACAUUUUAAACAUUUCAAACUGACAAGAGCUAAACCUCUGAAUCUGAAUAAACAGCUUUUAGACAUAAACUUGCUUUUAUUAAGUUAUUAUGGGAACAAGUUGUUUUAAUCGUCCUGUCAUGAGGUAUUAAGAGGUUGAAUUAUAUCCAAAGCUGUAUUGUGUGUGUGUUGACUUUACAUCGGUUGUGUAUCUAAACUGUUCAUUAACAGCAGGUGUUCAUCACUAAUGGUCAAUCAUCACUUGUAAAGUGAACCAUUUAAUGAACUGCAUGAACAAUUCAACAGCUGACGCUACAAAGAGUAGAUCCUACACUGCUUCAGUGUUAGUUUUUAACACCUGUGGAUGAGACUCAUAUAUACUCCAGGGUUGUUAAUUUAACACUGGAGAUUUUGUUGUGCUUCUAAAAAUGCGUCUGACACACAUAAAGCUGAAAUUAUUAUCAAAAGAGUAACCAAUUGCUAUUGGAGCCUCUAUGUGCACAUUAAUGCAGACAAAACAUCUAUUUUCUAUGUAAAACACAUCUCAGUUUGUAUUAAUUACAUCAAAAUGUUUGUAAUUAUUGGUAAAAACUAAAUGAAACACUGAUAUUCAUAUCUAGCCUACAUGUGCGUUCUUUUGUAUUCACAUAUAACUGCAGAUUGUAUUUACUAAAGUCAAGAGUGUGAAAAGGAGUGCUGAUUUAAACUUGCAAUACAGUCAUGUGACAAUUUAAAACAUUUAUUGUUGCAUAAUGUGAUCUGUUUCACACAUACUAUUAAGAAACGGGCAGAUACAGUAUAUACUGUACUGAAUUUAGUAAGCAGCUCCAUUCUGAACAAAACCACAGUUUCUCGAUCGGAUGUGUGAUCAUAAGAGAGAGUUUAUGAGGACAAUGAUGUUCA
Molecule: long non-coding RNA, 4091 nt
Organism: Ctenopharyngodon idella (grass carp)
Lineage: Eukaryota; Metazoa; Chordata; Actinopteri; Cypriniformes; Xenocyprididae
Exons: 3
Source: RefSeq, a predicted model, not a curated record